Molecule: signal recognition particle RNA, 302 nt
Filed under: Callithrix jacchus (white-tufted-ear marmoset)
Lineage: Eukaryota; Metazoa; Chordata; Mammalia; Primates; Cebidae
Description: Metazoan signal recognition particle RNA (ENSCJAG00000041371.3)
Rfam family: Metazoan signal recognition particle RNA
About the family: The signal recognition particle (SRP) is a universally conserved ribonucleoprotein.
Source: Rfam by way of RNAcentral
GGUAGGUGUGGUGGAGCAUACCUGCAGUCCAGCCACUCAGGAGGCUGAGGCAGGAGGAUCACUGGAGCCCAGGAGUUCUGGGCUGCAGUGUGCUAUGCUGAUCAGGUAUUCACACUAAGUUAGGCAUCAAGAUGGUGGCCAUCUGGGAGCAGGGGACCACCAGGUUGACUAAGAAGGAGUGAACCGUCCCUUCUGGAAACGGAGCAGGACAAAACUCCCGUGCUGAUCAGCAGUGGGAUCAAUCACACCUGUGAAUAGCCACUGAACUCCAGCCUGGCCAACACAGUGAGACCUCAUCUCUG